AAGGGACGCUGUGACGUUUUCACAAACCGCUAUCCCGGAUUCGCCGCCACAUCCCGGUACUCUUUUCUCCGCCGCCCUUGAAAGAGAACGUCCUAUGUGAAAGAUAGCACUAGUUGGUCCCUGGAGACUGCUGUCUGGUUGGAGAGUCACCUGCUCCCCUCCAUGGAGACAGACCAGCAUGAUCAACAGUCGGCUGGAGGGAGUUGGUGGUUACGGUUACAGAAGUCAUCAAAAGAGAGCGCCUGGGGAAUAGGAGUGGAGCUAGGCACUGCAGGUCCUGGAUUAACCUCUACAUCACCAGAGGAACAGAGGAGGAGUUGGUGGUUGACCCAUCAGAGGAGUUGUAUUUAUGGAUGGCUACAGGUCAUGACCUUUCCCAUCUUCUACGUCUGGGUUCUCUUCAUCUGCAUAUGCUUACAUCAAAUGUAGCCUAUGGCUGGCCGGUUAUCCAUUUCAAGGGGUUCGCUUCGUGUCAAUGUACUGUUUCUCUGUUUCUCUGUUCUUCUUCUGUUGUUUAUUUUUUUGUGUUUUUCCUCUUUGUGUAAAAUAUGUUGAGACCUUGUACACAUGAAAUAAAUUGUGAUUUGAUUGGAAAGAUAAUAAAGAGAAGAAUAAAUAGA
This is a long non-coding RNA of Oncorhynchus mykiss (rainbow trout), 620 nucleotides long. RefSeq lists it as uncharacterized. The record is from RefSeq and is a predicted model, not a curated record. NCBI's taxonomy places the organism in Eukaryota, Metazoa, Chordata, Actinopteri, Salmoniformes, Salmonidae.